RNAcentral lists this ribosomal RNA (435 nucleotides) under Bacilli bacterium oral taxon C43. RNAcentral describes it as "bacterial SSU rRNA". It matches the Rfam family "Bacterial small subunit ribosomal RNA", at positions 28 to 445 of the family's 1533-position model. Lineage: Bacteria; Bacillati; Bacillota; Bacilli. The record is from RNAcentral.
GACGAACGCUGGCGGCGUGCCUAAUACAUGCAAGUCGAGCGGAGUUUUUAAAAGCUUGCUUUUAAAAACUCAGCGGCGGACGGGUGAGUAACACGUGGGCAACCUGCCCUGUAGACUGGGAUAACUUCGGGAAACCGAAGCUAAUACCGGAUAAUCAUAGAAGUUGCAUAGCUUCUAUGUAAAAGUUGGGUUUACCUAACACUACAGGAUGGGCCCGCGUCGCAUUAGCUAGUUGGUAAGGUAACGGCUUACCAAGGCGACGAUGCGUAGCCGACCUGAGAGGGUGAUCGGCCACACUGGGACUGAGACACGGCCCAGACUCCUACGGGAGGCAGCAGUAGGGAAUCUUCCGCAAUGGACGAAAGUCUGACGGAGCAAACGCCCGCGUGAGCGAUGAAAGGGCCUUUCGGGUCGUAAAAGCUCUGUUGUUAAGGG